GGCUGAGAUUCAGGCUCAGGUCUAGGGGUUGGGGAAUAUUAAAGUUUACAAGUACAAUCUUACUCCAUCCAUACACACACAUGGAGAAGCCAGGAGAGGACGCGGCCAGAGAUGGGCUCCUGCCCUUGAACCCCUGCUGGGGUGGAAGCAGGUGCACAAUGCUUCUUUGAGUAUCUCCGUGUCUGUGGCUGAUAUCCAGAUGCAAGGCUUCUUCCGGGCAUCCCUGGGAAUGGGAGUGCAUAGACAUACUGGUCAAAUUACAGCACAGCCUCUACACCUUUACUGAAGAUGGAAAACUGUUUUCCAAAGUUGACUUGCCUAACAUGAUGUAACUAUCAUGCAAAAAUAAAAAUAAAAUUAAGAAUAAAAAUUUAAAAAUGAAA
Molecule: long non-coding RNA, 383 nt
Filed under: Homo sapiens (human)
Lineage: Eukaryota; Metazoa; Chordata; Mammalia; Primates; Hominidae
Description: novel transcript
Source: RNAcentral